Molecule: long non-coding RNA, 331 nt
Organism: Mya arenaria
Lineage: Eukaryota; Metazoa; Mollusca; Bivalvia; Myida; Myidae
Exons: 2
Source: RefSeq, a predicted model, not a curated record
GCGACUAUAAAUGUGAAUGUACCGACGCCUCGAUGAAACGAUACAGACGCACUGCUCUAUGUGUGGUGUGGAACCUUCCCCCGACCUGCCACUUGGACGCUCCAGCCCCCGGAAAGUGCUGCCAGACUCCCAACUGCCCUUCAGAUGUCGUCCUAAGUUACCCACCAGGCUAUACGGUGGAAUAAGAAACGCUUCACGACGUUUUCAAGACGUUCGGUCACUUUUAUAAAGUUUUUUUUGUACAAAAGUUAUGAGUUUUAAUUGUCUGAGAUUUUUCUUGAAAUAUUUGUUCAUUGUGUUUUGUAAAUAAAUUACAAGAUGUUGAAAUGUU